This 484-nucleotide ribosomal RNA is filed under the name uncultured bacterium. Its description in RNAcentral is "partial 16S ribosomal RNA". It matches the Rfam family "Bacterial small subunit ribosomal RNA", at positions 30 to 507 of the family's 1533-position model. The record is from RNAcentral.
AUUGAACGCUGGCGGCAGGCCUAACACAUGCAAGUCGAGCGGAUGAAGGGAGCUUGCUCCUGGAUUCAGCGGCGGACGGGUGAGUAAUGCCUAGGAAUCUGCCUGGUAGUGGGGGAUAACGUCCGGAAACGGGCGCUAAUACCGCAUACGUCCUGAGGGAGAAAGUGGGGGAUCUUCGGACCUCACGCUAUCAGAUGAGCCUAGGUCGGAUUAGCUAGUUGGUGGGGUAAAGGCCUACCAAGGCGACGAUCCGUAUCUGGUCUGAGAGGAUGAUCAGUCACACUGGAACUGAGACACGGUCCAGACUCCUACGGGAGGCAGCAGUGGGGAAUAUUGGACAAUGGGCGAAAGCCUGAUCCAGCCAUGCCGCGUCUGUGAAGAAGGUCUUCGGAUUGUAAAGCACUUUAAGUUGGGAGGAAGGGCAGUAAGUUAAUACCUUGCUGUUUUGACGUUACCAACAGAAUAAGCACCGGCUAACUUCGUG